GUGUCAGCAGCCGCGGUAAUACGUAGGGGGCGAACGUUGCUCGGAAUUACUGGGCGUAAAGGGUGUGUAGGUGGCUGAGCAAGUCGAAGAUGAAAUCCCAGGGCUCAACCCUGGAAUUGUCUUUGAUACUGUUCAGCUUGAGGGUGGUCGAGGAAGACGGAAUUCCCGGUGGAGCGGUGAAAUGCGUAGAUAUCGGGAGGAACACCGGAGGCGAAGGCGGUCUCCUGGGCCACUCCUGACACUGAGGCACGAAAGCUAGGGGAGCGAACGGGAUUAGAUACCCCGGUAGUCCACGCCCUAAACGAUGGAUGCUAGGUGUUGGAUCCGAGAGGAUUCAGCGCCGAAGCUAACGCGUUAAGCAUCCCGCCUGGGGACUACGGCCGCAAGGCUGAAACUCAAAGGAAUUGACGGGG
RNAcentral lists this ribosomal RNA (413 nucleotides) under uncultured prokaryote. RNAcentral's name for it is "bacterial SSU rRNA". It matches the Rfam family "Bacterial small subunit ribosomal RNA", at positions 505 to 918 of the family's 1533-position model. The record is from RNAcentral.